AUGCUUAACUAACGUACAUGUGCAUGUUUCGGUCGGUUAACGCAUGAGACGAAUGGAAUGAUGUAGCAGAAGGACCUUUCUUUUGUUUUAUUUUGUAAUAAAGAAAUUAACUCAAUGAGUAAGUUCUACGAGCAAUUCUGGUUCAUAAUGGUUUAAGUUUCUACCAGACUUUUCUUUUGUACAUAUAGAUGGCACCACGAAACGUCUAAUUUCUGAAUGGUUACUAAGCAUCUGAUCAAGAACUUUUGGUCUAGACGCUUCAGUAAACUCUACAACUAUAAAGCUGGAUAAAUAUAAUGGAACGAAUACAGGGCCAUCGGCUCAAGAUUCAAACCAUUUCCCCGAACUUUAUUCAUUUUCUCCUCUGUACAUUGAAUGGUAUUUUUGGAUGAUAAUUGUUGUCGUUUGUUGUACUACUCUCGCUUCCAUUUUACUGUGUCUCAUUUGUUGUCGAAAGCCUUAUAAGACAGCAGUGGUUCGUCUUUCAGAAGAAAUUCCAUCUCAUUUUCCGGGGACAGUUUUGGCUGCAGAGGGAAUCAUCCAGCCGGACGUCUCAUUCUACACGCAGGUACAGCCUUGCAAUGGGGUUGUUGCCAAAUCGCCGAAAAUCAGCGAUCUUCGGCCGGAAACUCCGAGAUUGCCAACCCCCUGCAAGCCUUUGGAACCUGCUUACCAACCGACACAACUUCUCACCAUUACCACUGUCAGACUUCCCUACUUGACGUCUGACCUGGCCUUGCCUCCGGGUUAUGUGUCUUUAAGAGAUGUUAAAUAACUCUGUUUUGAAAAGAAAAUUGUACAGUAAAAUUUAGAGGAUAGUUGUUUUUAUCAUGAAAACUUCCAUUGUGUUAAAAAAUCUGUUACCUUAAUUAUCAUCGUUAUAGAUUUUCAUACGUUAGUCAAUAAUAUAGUAGUUGUAACAUGAAAUUGUUCCAAUGGCUCUUCCGAAUAAAUGAAGUAUGAGAUGAUUUUAUAUUGGUUUAUUGUACAAAUGGACACGGAAUGAUUUUCAAUGAAUUCUAGCUCAUUGUAUAAAAACCAGAAAGUGAAUUUAGACAUUCGGCUUUCCUCUUCAUUUUUCCAUUUUGCUGAAUAAAUAACAUACUGUUUCCUUAAAAUUUCUGUUACCUUAAUUAUCAUUGU
Molecule: long non-coding RNA, 1143 nt
Organism: Argiope bruennichi
Lineage: Eukaryota; Metazoa; Arthropoda; Arachnida; Araneae; Araneidae
Exons: 5
Source: RefSeq, a predicted model, not a curated record